This 503-nucleotide ribosomal RNA is filed under the name Plenotheres coarctatus. Its description in RNAcentral is "partial small subunit ribosomal RNA". The record is from RNAcentral. Lineage: Eukaryota; Metazoa; Arthropoda; Malacostraca; Decapoda; Pinnotheridae.
UGUAAUUUUUUACUAUCUAUAUAUAUUAAAGAGUAAAAUUGAUUUAAUUUUUUGUAGAUAAAAUAAAUUAAAAUUGAAGCUAAAAAAUUUUAGUUAUAAACUAGGAUUAGAUACCCUAUUAUUCUAAAAUAAUAAAUUUCCUUAGUUAGUAGUAGAUAUUUACUUAAAAUCUAAAAAAUUUGGCGGUAAUUUAAUCUUUUCAGAGGAACUUGUUUUUUAAUCGAUAAUCCGCGAAGUAUCUUACUUAUUAUAGUAAUAGUUUGUAUACCAUCAUUAUCAGGUAAUUUUUAAAAAAUAAAUUACUGGGAUUAAAAUAGUUUAACAAAAUUAGAUCAUGGUGCAGCUUAUAAAUAAGUUAAAAUGAGUUACAAUAAAUUAUUUUAUAUGGAUAAAUAAAAGAAUUUUGUUUAGAAGGAGGAUUUGAUUGUAUUUUAAGUUUAAUAUGCUUAAAAGAUGGUAGCUCUAAAUUAUGUACAUAUCGCCCGUCGCUUUCAUUUAUGGAU